AUUGAACGCUGGCGGCAUGCCUAACACAUGCAAGUCGAACGGUAACAGGUCUUCGGAUGCUGACGAGUGGCGGACGGGUGAGUAAUGCGUAGGAAUCUGUCUUUUAGUGGGGGACAACCCAGGGAAACUUGGGCUAAUACCGCAUGAGCCCUGAGGGGGAAAGCGGGGGAUCUUCGGACCUCGCGCUAAGGGAAGAGCCUACGUCUGAUUAGCUAGUUGGUAGGGUAAAGGCCUACCAAGGCAACGAUCAGUAGCUGGUCUGAGAGGACGACCAGCCACACUGGGACUGAGACACGGCCCAGACUCCUACGGGAGGCAGCAGUGGGGAAUUUUUCGCAAUGGGGGCAACCCUGACGAAGCAAUGCCGCGUGGAUGAAGAAGGCCUUCGGGUUGUAAAGUCCUUUCGUGGGGGACGAAAAGGCGGGUCCUAAUACGAUCUGCUGUUGACGUGAACCCAAGAAGAAGCACCGGCUAACUCCGUGCCAGCAGCCGCGGUAAUACGGGGGGUGCAAGC
Molecule: ribosomal RNA, 514 nt
Filed under: uncultured Acidithiobacillus ferrooxidans
Lineage: Bacteria; Pseudomonadati; Pseudomonadota; Acidithiobacillia; Acidithiobacillales; Acidithiobacillaceae
Description: bacterial SSU rRNA
Rfam family: Bacterial small subunit ribosomal RNA
Source: RNAcentral